GCUAAUACAUGCAAGUCGAGCGAAUGGAUUAAGAGCUUGCUCUUAUGAAGUUAGCGGCGGACGGGUGAGUAACACGUGGGUAACCUGCCCAUAAGACUGGGAUAACUCCGGGAAACCGGGGCUAAUACCGGAUAACAUUUUGAACCGCAUGGUUCGAAAUUGAAAGGCGGCUUCGGCUGUCACUUAUGGAUGGACCCGCGUCGCAUUAGCUAGUUGGUGAGGUAACGGCUCACCAAGGCAACGAUGCGUAGCCGACCUGAGAGGGUGAUCGGCCACACUGGGACUGAGACACGGCCCAGACUCCUACGGGAGGCAGCAGUAGGGAAUCUUCCGCAAUGGACGAAAGUCUGACGGAGCAACGCCGCGUGAGUGAUGAAGGCUUUCGGGUCGUAAAACUCUGUUGUUAGGGAAGAACAAGUGCUAGUUGAAUAAGCUGGCACCUUGACGGUACCUAACCAGAAAGCCACGGCUAACUACGUGCCAGCAGCCGCGGUAAUACGUAGGUGGCAAGCGUUAUCCGGAAUUAUUGGGCGUAAAGCGCGCGCAGGUGGUUUCUUAAGUCUGAUGUGAAAGCCCACGGCUCAACCGUGGAGGGUCAUUGGAAACUGGGAGACUUGAGUGCAGAAGAGGAAAGUGGAAUUCCAUGUGUAGCGGUGAAAUGCGUAGAGAUAUGGAGGAACACCAGUGGCGAAGGCGACUUUCUGGUCUGUAACUGACACUGAGGCGCGAAAGCGU
This 735-nucleotide ribosomal RNA is filed under the name Bacillus anthracis (anthrax bacterium). RNAcentral's name for it is "bacterial SSU rRNA". It matches the Rfam family "Bacterial small subunit ribosomal RNA", at positions 46 to 762 of the family's 1533-position model. The record is from RNAcentral. Lineage: Bacteria; Bacillati; Bacillota; Bacilli; Caryophanales; Bacillaceae.